AAUGAACGCUGGCGGCAGGCCUAAAACAUGCAAGUCGAGCGCCCUAGCAAUAGGGAGCGGCGCACGGGUGAGUAACACGUGGGAAUAUGCCUUUUGGUACGGAACAACCUCGGGAAACUGAGGCUAAUACCGUAUGGUCCCUUCGGGGUAAAGAUUUAUCGCCAAAAGAGUAGCCCGCGUUGGAUUAGCUAGUUGGUAAGGUAACGGCUUACCAAGGCGACGAUCCAUAGCUGGUCUGAGAGGACGAUCAGCCACACUGGGACUGAGACACGGCCCAGACUCCUACGGGAGGCAGCAGUUAGGAAUAUUGGGACAAUGGGCGCAAGCCUGAUCCAGCCAUGCCGCGUGAGUGAUGAAGGCCUU
This 363-nucleotide ribosomal RNA is filed under the name uncultured bacterium. RNAcentral describes it as "bacterial SSU rRNA". It matches the Rfam family "Bacterial small subunit ribosomal RNA", at positions 29 to 418 of the family's 1533-position model. The record is from RNAcentral.